AUUGAACGCUGGCGGCAUGCUUUACACAUGCAAGUCGAACGGUAACAGGCCGUCGGGUGCUGACGAGUGGCGAACGGGGGAGUAAUCCAUCGGAACGUGCCCAGAGGUUGGGGGUAACGCAGCGAAAGCUGUGCUAAUACCGCAUGUGAUCUGAGGAUGAAAGCGGGGGACCACGCAGCAAUGUUUGGCCUCGCGCCUUUGUAGCGGCCGAUGUCAGAUUAGGUAGUUGGUGGGGUAAAGGCCUACCAAGCCGACGAUCUGUAGCUGGUCUGAGAGGACGACCAGGCACACUGGGACUGAGACACGGCCCAGACUCCUACGGGAGGCAGCAGUGGGGAAUAUUGGACAAUGGGCGAAAGCCUGAUCCAGCAAUGCCGCGUGCGGGAAGAAGGACUUCGGGUUGUAAACCGCUUUUGUCCGGAAGGAAAAGGAUCUGGCUAAUACCUGGUGCUGAUGACGGUACCGUAAGAAUAAGCACCGGCUAACUCCGUG
RNAcentral lists this ribosomal RNA (492 nucleotides) under uncultured bacterium. RNAcentral's name for it is "partial 16S ribosomal RNA". It matches the Rfam family "Bacterial small subunit ribosomal RNA", at positions 30 to 507 of the family's 1533-position model. The record is from RNAcentral.